Molecule: transfer RNA, 86 nt
Filed under: Actinomycetes bacterium
Lineage: Bacteria; Bacillati; Actinomycetota; Actinomycetes
Also listed under: 1 other name
Description: Actinobacteria bacterium tRNA-Leu
Rfam family: tRNA
About the family: Transfer RNA (tRNA) molecules are approximately 80 nucleotides in length. Their secondary structure includes four short double-helical elements and three loops (D, anti-codon, and T loops). Further hydrogen bonds mediate the characteristic L-shaped molecular structure. tRNAs have two regions of fundamental functional importance: the anti-codon, which is responsible for specific mRNA codon recognition, and the 3' end, to which the tRNAs corresponding amino acid is attached (by aminoacyl-tRNA synthetases). tRNAs cope with the degeneracy of the genetic code in two manners: having more than one tRNA (with a specific anti-codon) for a particular amino acid; and 'wobble' base-pairing, i.e. permitting non-standard base-pairing at the 3rd anti-codon position.
Source: RNAcentral
GCGCCUGUGGCGGAAUUGGUAGACGCGCAAGGUUGAGGGCCUUGUCCGGGGUAUCCCGGGUGGAGGUUCGAGUCCUCUCGGGCGCA